This 439-nucleotide ribosomal RNA is filed under the name uncultured bacterium. Its description in RNAcentral is "partial 16S ribosomal RNA". It matches the Rfam family "Bacterial small subunit ribosomal RNA", at positions 339 to 795 of the family's 1533-position model. The record is from RNAcentral.
CUACGGGGCGCUGCAGUGGGGAAUAUUGCACAAUGGGGGAAACCCUGAUGCAGCAACGCCGCGUGGAGGAUGACGCAUUUCGGUGUGUAAACUCCUUUUAUAUAGGAAGAUAAUGACGGUACUAUAUGAAUAAGCACCGGCUAACUCCGUGCCAGCAGCCGCGGUAAUACGGAGGGUGCAAGCGUUACUCGGAAUCACUGGGCGUAAAGCGCGCGCAGGCGGCCCCUUAAGUUGGAUGUGAAAGCCUACGGCUUAACCGUAGAACUGCAUCCAAAACUGAGGGGCUAGAGUCUGGGAGGGGAAGAUGGAAUUAGUUGUGUAGGGGUAAAAUCCGUAGAGAUAACUAGGAAUACCAAAAGCGAAGGCGAUCUUCUGGAACAGUACUGACGCUGAGGCGCGAAAGCGUGGGGAGCAAACAGGAUUAGAUACCCUAGUAGUC